UUGAGCCGGAGCAGGCCAUGUUUGGUAAGACUGGUCUAUCUGGGCCAUUCAAAUUUCGUAAGAUCCGGCUAUCCGGCCCAUUAAUACUAGUUUAUCAACCCCAAAUAUAAAUUCGUUGAAAACAAGAAACGUCAAGAAUUAGUUCAAAGACUCUUAAAAUGGAGAAAAAGUAGUUUACAACUUCCAGAUCAUAUGAUUAUGUAACUCAAAAUCACAAUGAUUAGCAAGCUAAUCGAAUACUCGUAUACCUCAUUACAUUUUGGUUUAAGGCAUAGAACAAAACAUGCAGAACACUCUCAAUGGCAAUAAAUACACUUGUGGCUUAAGAAUUGAAGAAUACGUGUGUUGUGUUCUGAUGAUUGUGCCUCUGGUUCAUCAUGAUGCUGUCAGCUCAAGUCUGGUUGAGGUAUUCGGCAGUUGCGUAACUCCCAAAAGCAGUGCAUAAUGGCUACUCUUGCAUGAUGUUACAACGCUUGUAAGCAACGAUGUGGCACAAGAGCCAAUUUAGUCAUGAGUUCGAUGAGUUUCAUUAAAGAUACAAAACAUUAAAUUUCGAUGAAGGCAUGUGUUUAGGCGACUAUAUAUGCUUCAUUUUCUGAUCUCUUUUCUUCUUCUCGUC
RNAcentral lists this long non-coding RNA (619 nucleotides) under Brassica napus (rape). RNAcentral describes it as "long non-coding RNA (BNAP_LNC026605)". The record is from RNAcentral. Lineage: Eukaryota; Viridiplantae; Streptophyta; Magnoliopsida; Brassicales; Brassicaceae.